AGCCUUAUAUUCAAUAAUGAUAUUAAAUUGCAAAUUUAAAGGAGUGUAAAUGCUAAGGCUU
RNAcentral lists this transfer RNA (61 nucleotides) under Neopsylla specialis. RNAcentral describes it as "tRNA-Cys". Lineage: Eukaryota; Metazoa; Arthropoda; Insecta; Siphonaptera; Ctenophthalmidae. The record is from RNAcentral. RNAcentral also lists the same sequence under 2 other names.